Nicotiana tabacum (common tobacco) is the source of this 706-nucleotide long non-coding RNA. RefSeq lists it as uncharacterized. The record is from RefSeq and is a predicted model, not a curated record. Lineage: Eukaryota; Viridiplantae; Streptophyta; Magnoliopsida; Solanales; Solanaceae.
UGACGGUUACCAACACUGAAGAGGACAACGAUGACAAUGAUGGAAUCCAAUUCUAGCAUGAAUCCUCUUCAUGGAUUCUUCGACAUUGAAUCAAUGAGUCACCAUGUUUUGUUUUGUGGUUUUACUGCAACAAGAAAAGGCGAAAUGUCUAAUUCGCAUGGAAAGGGGACAAUAGCUCCUUUGUAUUCCUUUCCUCCGAUGGUCGCAUUGAGCUUUCUCGUCUCUUGUUGCUAGUUUCGACCCAUUACAUGUCGAUCGUAUUUAUCCUUUAAAGUACGAUCAGAAUUAUCUAAGAGGUUUAUCAACAGGUCUUCCACUAGCUUUUUGGCUGACCAAUCACAAGUUUGGGUACCUGCAAAAUCUCCCAGAGAUGAACAAGUUUACAGCUGAAUCCUGAACCUUCUUUGCGAGGAAACAUGAAUACUUUAAAGUAAUCACGGUUUCCAAUAGCAACCUUCAUUUCUUGAGACCCGUGAAAAGAAUAACACAGACAGACCAACUUUAAUGUGGGAGAUAUGGGAUGAAUUUAACAAAAUAAUAAGUAGAAUAUGCCUUGCAUAAUGAUUUAGACUUAGACAAUAAGAAGGAAUUAAUUUGCAUUGGAGAGGACUUUUUUCUGGCCAUAGCUUCAUUGUGUAAAAUGUAAACUGGUAUUGUAAUAUGGAUUUCCAUUUAUUGUCUUGAUUAUUUAAAGUGAAUUCCCAUA